AACGAACGCUGGCGGCAUGCCUAACACAUGCAAGUCGAACGAGAUCUUCGGGUCUAGUGGCGCACGGGUGCGUAACGCGUGGGAAUCUGCCCUUUGGUUCGGAAUAACAGUUGGAAACGACUGCUAAUACCGGAUGAUGACGAAAGUCCAAAGAUUUAUCGCCAGAGGAUGAGCCCGCGUAGGAUUAGCUAGUUGGUGUGGUAAAGGCGCACCAAGGCGACGAUCCUUAGCUGGUCUGAGAGGAUGAUCAGCCACACUGGACUGAGACACGGCCCAGACUCCUACGGGAGGCAGCAGUGGGGAAUAUUGGACAAUGGGCGAAAGCCUGAUCCAGCAAUGCCGCGUGAAUGAUGAAGGCCUUAGGGUUGUAAAGCUCUUUUACCCGGGAUGAUAAUGACAGUACCGGGAGAAUAAGCUCCGGCUAACUCCGUGCCAGCAGCCGCCGUAA
RNAcentral lists this ribosomal RNA (448 nucleotides) under uncultured bacterium. Its description in RNAcentral is "partial 16S ribosomal RNA". It matches the Rfam family "Bacterial small subunit ribosomal RNA", at positions 29 to 523 of the family's 1533-position model. The record is from RNAcentral.